Molecule: non-coding RNA, 73 nt
Organism: Strongylocentrotus purpuratus (purple sea urchin)
Lineage: Eukaryota; Metazoa; Echinodermata; Echinoidea; Camarodonta; Strongylocentrotidae
Source: Rfam
GGAGUGUUGGCUCAAUCAGUAGAGCGUCCGCCUCACAACCGGGAGGUCGCGGGUUCGAUCCCCGGCCGCGUCA